Molecule: transfer RNA, 64 nt
Filed under: Ochthebius sp. IBE<ESP> AN77
Lineage: Eukaryota; Metazoa; Arthropoda; Insecta; Coleoptera; Hydraenidae
Description: tRNA-Tyr
Source: RNAcentral
AGUAAAAUGGCCGAGAUUAGGCGAUAAAUUGUAAAUUUAUUUACGAAAGAUGUUUCUUUUACUA